Molecule: microRNA precursor, 83 nt
Filed under: Tursiops truncatus (common bottlenose dolphin)
Lineage: Eukaryota; Metazoa; Chordata; Mammalia; Artiodactyla; Delphinidae
Description: miRNA (ENSTTRG00000024847.1)
Source: RNAcentral
UAGGGUGACCAACUGUCUUGGUUUCCCUGGGACUGAGGGGGUUUCCGGGAUAAGGGACUUUCAGUUUUAAAACCUGGACAGUC